GACGAACGCUGGCGGCGUGCUUAACACAUGCAAGUCGAACGGUAAGGCCCCUUCGGGGGUACACGAGUGGCGAACGGGUGAGUAACACGUGAGCAACCUGCCCUUGACUCUGGAAUAACAGUUGGAAACAGCUGCUAAUACUGGAUAUUCAUCGUCUCCUUCCUGGGGGGUGGUGGAAAGCUCCGGCGGUCAGGGAUGGGCUCGCGGCCUAUCAGCUUGUUGGUGAGGUAAUGGCUCACCAAGGCUUCGACGGGUAGCCGGCCUGAGAGGGCGACCGGCCACACUGGGACUGAGAGACGGCCCAGACUCCUACGGGAGGCAGCAGUGGGGAAUAUUGCACAAUGGGCGCAAGCCUGAUGCAGCAACGCCGCGUGCGGGAUGACGGCCUUCGGGUUGUAAACCGCUUUCAGUAGGGACGAAGGGUGACUGACGGUACCUACAGAAGAAGAACCGGCUAACUACGUG
This 465-nucleotide ribosomal RNA is filed under the name uncultured bacterium. RNAcentral's name for it is "partial 16S ribosomal RNA". It matches the Rfam family "Bacterial small subunit ribosomal RNA", at positions 28 to 507 of the family's 1533-position model. The record is from RNAcentral.